GCUUCGCAGCGCGCACACGGGGAGCUUGCUCCCAGAGAUGCUGCGAGGAAAGUCCCCGUGCCUUGGUGCAGAGAGUGCGAGUGGAAGACCGCAGGGCUCGUGGCAGACCUCCAGUGGUGAUGCUUCUCGCGCAGCCUUGGUGACAGGCUCGGGCCCUUCGCAGCAGCGCACUCAAGCUGUUUGCACUCAUGAUGGGCGCCAACAGCACGGGGCUAACUCUC
This 221-nucleotide RNase MRP RNA is filed under the name Scrippsiella hangoei. Its description in RNAcentral is "partial RNase MRP". It matches the Rfam family "RNase MRP". Rfam says of the family: RNase MRP is an enzymatically active ribonucleoprotein with two distinct roles in eukaryotes. The record is from RNAcentral. Lineage: Eukaryota; Dinophyceae; Peridiniales; Peridiniaceae.